This 18-nucleotide unclassified non-coding RNA is filed under the name Mus musculus (house mouse). RNAcentral describes it as "oocyte_clustered_small_RNA10743". The record is from RNAcentral. Lineage: Eukaryota; Metazoa; Chordata; Mammalia; Rodentia; Muridae.
ACAGGAGCAGGCUAUUGC